CUCUCUUUCAUUUGGUUUUAAAGAGCAUGGUUUAAAUUAGCUAUCUUUGUGCCUGUGACCCUGGGGAGGGGGUCGUCUUGACAGACAUGUGGCUCCCGGACCCCUGCCUCCUUCAGAAGUUUGUAUCCUGAACCUGGGGAGACAGAAGCGGGAUUGUUGUGUAGGUGGGGUGAGCACGGGGAUCUCAACCACUGACACCAAGACGUGUGUGUGGACUGCCGCUCCGUCCAGAUUCAAACUCAUCUGUUGGCUGUGAACGCGGGGAAGGUAUGCCAUUUUCUAUCGAAGGAAAAAACAAGAGCUGCUCCGCUGCUGCC
RNAcentral lists this long non-coding RNA (317 nucleotides) under Mustela putorius furo (domestic ferret). RNAcentral describes it as "lncRNA (ENSMPUG00000027127.1)". Lineage: Eukaryota; Metazoa; Chordata; Mammalia; Carnivora; Mustelidae. The record is from RNAcentral.